AGGCUCCAAAGUGUGAGGACAGGUGUGUAACACAGAGGCUACAUGUCAGGAAUUAGGGGCUACAUCUCAGGCAAUUGGGGCUCCAAAGUGUGAGGACAGGUGUGUACAAACAGAGGCUACAUGUCAGGAAUUAGGGGCUGCAUCUCAGGCAAUUGGUGCUCCAAAGUUUGAGGACAGGUGUGUACAAACAGAGGCUACAUGUCAGGAAUUAGGGGCUGCAUCUCAGGCAAUAGGGGCUCCUAAGUGUGAGGACAGGUGUGUACAAAGAGAGGCUACAUGUCAGGAAUUAGGGGCUGCAUCUCAGGCAAUAGGUGAGUAUAAAAUAAUAGUUCCCAAUUGAUUUCUGUAAGGUUUUCUUCCCCCGAGUAUAUUGUGCUUGAAAGAA
Octopus sinensis (East Asian common octopus) is the source of this 385-nucleotide long non-coding RNA. RefSeq lists it as uncharacterized. The record is from RefSeq and is a predicted model, not a curated record. NCBI's taxonomy places the organism in Eukaryota, Metazoa, Mollusca, Cephalopoda, Octopoda, Octopodidae. The transcript has 4 exons.